Molecule: long non-coding RNA, 642 nt
Organism: Mustela lutreola (European mink)
Lineage: Eukaryota; Metazoa; Chordata; Mammalia; Carnivora; Mustelidae
Exons: 2
Source: RefSeq, a predicted model, not a curated record
GAAAAUUUCCAGUUCUCAGUAUAACUGCCAACUGGCCCAGGGGUGGACAAUUGAGUCAGAUGAGACCAAAAUGAAAAUUUUGUUGAGACUCUGGACCUUGAGGAUUCAAGCCAAGGACAAAAAAGUAAAAGGCCACUAGAAACAGCAGGUCAUGGCCCCAGCUCCUGUCCCUCCAUGCAGAACAUCUGUCAACACCUGUGGACAUCUUUUCCUCCCCCCAUUCCUAUGAAUGUUGCUCAGUUGUUACAUGGCAUGGACAAAUGCUGUUGGCUGGUGGCAUGGACACACUGGACAAGCUUGGCCUUUGGUAAAACAAAGACUGGAUUCAAUUACUCAAACUGAAACAGGAAUGCUUGGAUGAACAAGCCUGCCAGGAAGUCCCACUGGAGGCACUCAACCUGUGCCCCUUCCCUCUUUGGACCAAGAACCUGAACUUGAGAGAUGAAUGGCUUAUCCAAGGUUAUGGCAAGGUUACACAGAGCUGAAACUAGACACAGGUGUACAUGCCUAUUGAUCAAGGCUGGCUGUGAAAUCGAACUGCCUCAAAUAUUGAUUCUUUUUGCCACUUCUGAUUCUCUGACCCUGUUUUUCAUAGUUUAGGAUGUAGGAAUAAUAAAAAUAUCAGCUAAUGGGGUAUCCUGA